CAGCAGCCGCGGGAAUACAGAGGGUGCGAGCGUUAAUCGGAUUUACUGGGCGUAAAGCGUGCGUAGGCGGCUUCUUAAGUCGGAUGUGAAAUCCCCGGGCUUAACCUGGGAACUGCAUUUGAAACUGGCAGGCUAGAGUCUUGUAGAGGGGGGUAGAAUUCCAGGUGUAGCGGUGAAAUGCGUAGAGAUCUGGAGGAAUACCGGUGGCGAAGGCGGCCCCCUGGACAAAGACUGACGCUCAGGUGCGAAAGCGUGGGGAGCAAACAGGAUUAGAGACCCCUGUAGUCCCUGUCUCUUAUAC
Molecule: ribosomal RNA, 301 nt
Filed under: uncultured bacterium
Lineage: Bacteria
Description: partial 16S ribosomal RNA
Rfam family: Bacterial small subunit ribosomal RNA
Source: RNAcentral